Molecule: ribosomal RNA, 460 nt
Filed under: uncultured bacterium
Lineage: Bacteria
Description: partial 16S ribosomal RNA
Rfam family: Bacterial small subunit ribosomal RNA
Source: RNAcentral
CCUACGGGUGGCAGCAGUGAGGAAUAUUGGUCAAUGGGCGGGAGCCUGAACCAGCCAAGUCGCGUGAGGGAAGACGGUCCUAUGGAUUGUAAACCUCUUUAGGCGGGGAGCAAUGCCGGGCACGUGUGCCCGGAGGGAGAGUACCCGCAGAAUAAGCAUCGGCUAACUCCGUGCCAGCAGCCGCGGUAAUACGGAGGAUGCGAGCGUUAUCCGGAUUUAUGGGGUUUAAGGGGUGCGUAGGCGGAUUUUUAAGUUAGCGGUAAAAUGUCCGGGCUCAACCCGGGCCGGCCGUUGAAACUGGGGAGCUUGAGUGGGCGAGAGGUAUGCGGAAGGCGUGGUGUAGCGGUGAAAUGCAUAGAUAUCACGCAGAACACCGAUUGCGAAGGCAGCAUACCGGCGCCCGACUGACGCUGAGGCACGAAAGCGUGGGGAUCGAACAGGAUUAGAUACCCGAGUAGUC